CGUGUAGGCGGCCAGGUAGGUCUGCUGUGAAAACUCGAGGCUUAACCUCGAGAUGUCGGCAGAAACCAUCUGGCUAGAGUCCGGAAGAGGAGAAUGGAAUUCCCGGUGUAGCGGUGAAAUGCGCAGAUAUCGGGAAGAACACCCGUGGCGAAGGCGGUUCUCUGGGACGGUACUGACGCUGAGACGCGAAAGCGUGGGGAGCGAACA
This 207-nucleotide ribosomal RNA is filed under the name uncultured bacterium. Its description in RNAcentral is "partial 16S ribosomal RNA". It matches the Rfam family "Bacterial small subunit ribosomal RNA", at positions 568 to 774 of the family's 1533-position model. The record is from RNAcentral.